CCUACGGGAGGCAGCAGUGAGGAAUAUUGGUCAAUGGCCGGAAGGCUGAACCAGCCAAGCCGCGUGAAGGACGAAGGUGCCAAGCAUUGUAAACUUCUUUUGUCAAGGGACAAAAUCAGGCUCGAGAGCCUGACCGAGGGUACUUGAAGAAAAAGCAUCGGCUAACUCCGUGCCAGCAGCCGCGGUAAUACGGAGGAUGCGAGCGUUAUCCGGAUGUAUUGGGGUUAACGGGUGCGUAGGCGGGCUGUCAAGUCAGCGGUAAAAGCCCGGGGCUCAACCCCGGCGCGCCGUUGAAGCUGGCUGUUGUGAGAUGGCGAGAGGUAUGCGGAAUGCGCAGGGUAGCGGGGAAAU
Molecule: ribosomal RNA, 351 nt
Filed under: uncultured bacterium
Lineage: Bacteria
Description: partial 16S ribosomal RNA
Rfam family: Bacterial small subunit ribosomal RNA
Source: RNAcentral